CCCUUAGAUGUUCUGGGCCGCACGCGUGCUACACUGAGUGGAUCAGCGGGUCAGGUUGCGCGAAAGUGUUUCCUAAUCUUUAAAUCCGCUCGUGAUGGGGAUUGACGGUUGCAAUUUUCCGUCAUGAACGAGGAAUACCUUGUAAGCGCGGGUCAUCAUCCCGCGCUGAAUACGUCCCUGCCCUUUGUACACACCGCCCGUCGCUCCUACCGAUUGAGUGGUCCGGUGAGGCUUUGGGAUCUGGGCGGAAAGAGCGUUUCGCUGUUUCUGCCCGGAAAACUCAGUCGAACCUUAUCAUUUAGAGGAAGGAGAAGUCGUAAC
Molecule: ribosomal RNA, 321 nt
Filed under: uncultured eukaryote
Lineage: Eukaryota
Description: partial 18S ribosomal RNA
Rfam family: Eukaryotic small subunit ribosomal RNA
Source: RNAcentral